RNAcentral lists this ribosomal RNA (924 nucleotides) under uncultured organism. RNAcentral describes it as "bacterial SSU rRNA". It matches the Rfam family "Bacterial small subunit ribosomal RNA", at positions 1 to 917 of the family's 1533-position model. The record is from RNAcentral.
UGGAUCCAGACUUUGAUAUGGCUCAGGAUGAACGCUAGCUACAGGCUUAACACAUGCAAGUCGAGGGGAAACGACAUUGAAAGCUUGCUUUCGAUGGGCGUCGACCGGCGCACGGGUGAGUAACGCGUAUCCAACCUGCCCAUCACUUGGGGAUAACCUUGCGAAAGUAAGACUAAUACCCAAUGACGUCUCUAGAAGACAUCUGAAAGAGAUUAAAGAUUUAUCGGUGAUGGAUGGGGAUGCGUCUGAUUAGCUUGUUGGCGGGGUAACGGCCCACCAAGGCUACGAUCAGUAGGGGUUCUGAGAGGAAGGUCCCCCACAUUGGAACUGAGACACGGUCCAAACUCCUACGGGAGGCAGCAGUGAGGAAUAUUGGUCAAUGGACGAGAGUCUGAACCAGCCAAGUAGCGUGCAGGAUGACGGCCCUAUGGGUUGUAAACUGCUUUUAUAAGGGAAUAAAGUGAGGCUCGUGAGCUUUUUGCAUGUACCUUAUGAAUAAGGACCGGCUAAUUCCGUGCCAGCAGCCGCGGUAAUACGGAAGGUCCGGGCGUUAUCCGGAUUUAUUGGGUUUAAAGGGAGCGUAGGCCGCAGGUUAAGCGUGUUGUGAAAUGUAGGGGCUCAACCUCUGCACUGCAGCGCGAACUGGCUUGCUUGAGUACGCACAACGUGGGCGGAAUUCGUGGUGUAGCGGUGAAAUGCUUAGAUAUCACGAAGAACUCCGAUUGCGAAGGCAGCUCACGGGAGCGCAACUGACGCUAAAGCUCGAAAGUGCGGGUAUCGAACAGGAUUAGAUACCCUGGUAGUCCGCACGGUAAACGAUGGAUGCCCGCUGUUGGCUUGAAUUAGUCAGCGGCCAAGCGAAAGCAUUAAGCAUCCCACCUGGGGAGUACGCCGGCAACGGUGCAACUCAAAGGAAUUGAGGGA